This 478-nucleotide ribosomal RNA is filed under the name uncultured bacterium. Its description in RNAcentral is "partial 16S ribosomal RNA". It matches the Rfam family "Bacterial small subunit ribosomal RNA", at positions 28 to 523 of the family's 1533-position model. The record is from RNAcentral.
GACGAACGCUGGCGGCGUGCUUAACACAUGCAAGUCGAACGGUAAGGCCCUUCGGGGUACACGAGUGGCGAACGGGUGAGUAACACGUGGGUGAUCUGCCCUGCACUUCGGGAUAAGCCUGGGAAACUGGGUCUAAUACCGGAUAGGACCACUGCCUGCAUGGGUGGUGGUGGAAAGCUUUUGCGGUGUGGGAUGGGCCCGCGGCCUAUCAGCUUGUUGGUGGGGUGAUGGCCUACCAAGGCGACGACGGGUAGCCGGCCUGGGAGGGUGACCGGCCACACUGGGACUGAGAUACGGCCCAGACUCCUACGGGAGGGAGCAGUGGGGAAUAUUGCACAAUGGGCACAAGCCUGAUGCAGCGACGCCGCGUGAGGGAUGACGGCCUUCGGGUUGUAAACCUCUUUCAGCACCGACGAAGCGCAAGUGACGGUAGGUGCAGAAGAAGGACCGGCCAACUACGUGCCAGCCGCCGCAGUAA